This is a long non-coding RNA of Cyprinus carpio (common carp), 5404 nucleotides long. RefSeq lists it as uncharacterized. NCBI's taxonomy places the organism in Eukaryota, Metazoa, Chordata, Actinopteri, Cypriniformes, Cyprinidae. The record is from RefSeq and is a predicted model, not a curated record. The transcript has 7 exons.
UUAGACUUCAUGCUCUAAUUUAAGACCUUUUAUGGCCUUAAUUUGUGGAAGGGCAAAUUAAGACUUUUUUAAGACCAACAGAAACCCUGAUUUACAUAGUUUUUUCAUAUGUACUGUUUCAGUAGGGAUGACCAGACGUACAGUACCUGUUUUCUGGCUUUUGGUGUCCCGUCCCUGACUGGAGCUGUCCCUGUUUUACAGUACAUUUGUACAUUUAAAACACCACAAAUAGGAUGCUGGUUACCAGAGCAAUCGUACCGGAAUAAGGUGCACUGAUAAAUUCCCAGACAUGAUGUAAAAGCAGCCAAUCAGAUUUUCAGAGCUGCUGUUUUCAACCAGCUCUUCCCAUUCUUGGUGCAACAUGAGGAGGAUCAGAUGGAAAUCAGUUUUUAUAGCCAAGCAAUGUAAUUCCCAUCCAACGAUCGGCAUGCAAUUGAUAGCCUAGCUCAUUCUCUGACUAUUGAUUACUCAUCGAAAGUCAUUCCUCUGGAUAAUGAUCAGACCUGGAGAGGUUGGUAAAAGCUUUUUUGAUUGAAAAAAUGGGUAAGCAAAAAUGGAUCACUUUUACACCGGUAUGUGAUUUAUUUAAGCAUUUAUCUAACAAAUAAUUUGCAAGAAGAAAACCACAAAUGAUUCAUUAGCUUUAUAUUAGCUCAGUCAUCCACGUUAAUAUUAUUGAAAGCGAUACUUUUUGUUUUGUUAUUCAUGUACACAUAGUAAAACUAAACAAUAUUUCCCCACUAAAGGUCACAAUAAUUAGUAGUAAUAAUAUUCACAUUAUUCUUCAAGUUAAAUUGAAAAUGUCUUGAGAUGCAAUGUUACCAUUCAUAUAAGAGGACUAAAUAGAAAAGCAUUGAGAGAAAGAAAGAGACAGACAGAAAGGAUUCUUUAUUGAUUCAUUAUUGUAUUCUCAGGUUUGAUCUGAAACUCUUAAAGCCAUAAUCUUAAAGCCAUGCAUCAACUUAAAUAAGCCAUCAUGCUCUUCUUUCCCUCAGGCCACUCAGGUAGAAGCUGUCAGAGGUUGAUCAUACUUUGUUUUAAGAACCAAACAGGCAGCAACAUCAGAAGUCUAAAGUGUGGGCGAGAUAGUGAAGGAUAAAACGAGUAGAGCCACUGCAGAGAGUGAUAGAGACAGAGAAGAAGAGAGAAAACCGACCCUGGGGAGAAACGGGUGGUGCUGGGAUGACAUUUUUGGGGCAUUCGCUACAGUUAUGGAUGAAUUGUAUAUAAUAUUGCUCAAUGGAAAGAUUGCCGCAAACACACCUCAAAAUCUCCACAACGCAAGCACUGAAUCACAAUCACGACAUGCCAGGAGCUUCUGGUAAAGUUAAUAAAAAGCGUUUGCUAUAGUCAAAGAGCUGCGAGAACAAAGCCUGAAAUGAAGCAAAGGAGUGAUGAAUCGGUUAAAAUGGAGGUUUUUAAGUGGGUAGUUGUUGUAGUUUGCCAAGAACUUCAAAGUUAUAAAGAUCUUUUUUCCCCUUUAUAUCAAUACUUUCCACUCCUGGCUGAAUAUCUCACUUAUAGUUCUCAGUGCUCAGUAUUUCCUUUAGGUUAUAUAUCAAUAAACAUUAAGUUGGAAAUAAAUUGCAGACUAAGCUCUAUUUCAGUGAGCUGCCUUUCUUUCUACUGCCUUCUAAGGAAGCAUCCUAACGAAAAACCUCAUAAGUGACUCAUUUGGAGUACUCUACAAAGACAGAAACUCACACAAGUAGUAGCUUUCCCAGCUAGUGAAGCUGUACAUAGCCGGCAAAGAUCUAUAAACAUUAUUACUAAAUGUUCAAAAGGUCUAGUUUUUAAAUGUUUUAAAGGAGUUAUGAAACUAAUAUCUAACUGCUAUGUUACUUACAUACAUAAUAGGUUACUUUACAACAAAAACAUACUGCAAGUUUCAAAACUAAUUCUCCAGUUUGAAAUAUAUUAUUUUCUACACUUCUUAAACAUCAGGAUUUGAAAUCGGGACAAUUGUGACGUCACUUAACAUAUGUCAUUGUCCUAUCAAGGAGUGUUGCUGCAUGUUGUUAGGUAAAGAAAACCUUCUUGCAAACUUUAGAAACUAAGAUUAUUCUAUUUAUAAUCACAGUUACGCUGCUAAAGGAGUCUCUUAUUUACAUUGCACUCUAAAUUUAAUGCUGUUAUCCGCAUUUUUCAUGUUUAGUUCAUCUGGAGGCUGUUAUAUUAAAAAUACUGUAAACAUGUAAUGCUCAUUUAAUAUGAAAGGAUGUUAGGAAAUCAUAGCAGUGGGUGUUUACACUGACACUGCAUUGCACAUGUAAUAGCAAAUGGACACACAAAUCUGAGGUAAAAAGAAAAAAAAUGUUUUAAAUAUUGAAUUUUAAGCAUUAAAAUUAAAGCAUUUCUCAAUAAUUUAAGCAUUUCUCUCACUUUUUCUGCCAUCUUGGACCCCCCCCCACACUCAAUUUGUUUCAGUGCAUUCUGGGAUUGGCUUGUUCCCAACUGAAGACUUGUGUGCUUACAAUGAUUUACGCUCUUUCCGCUCUGACGGGAAGAAUAAAACAUUUUAUAAAGUUUGAGAAAUCCUGUAAUUGUCCUGAUAAUGAAUUUUUAAACAUCAUUUGCUCUGCCAGCGGUGCUUUCACAGAGCUUUUUUGAUACUGUUUAGCGAGAUAAUUCUACUUUCCUCCACUGUUUGGUUUUGUUUGUCUUUGAGACACUAGGCGAACGUUUCAUCGUCUGUGUUUACAUAACCCGGCACAGCCAGCAGUGUCGCACCCGUGAUUAGAUAUCCCUCAUCCUCUUUUAUCCCAUUUUGCCAGAUCUGAGUGUUUUGACAGAUUAUUUCUCAGUCUGCUUAUUGAAUACUGUAUGUGUCUUUGAAAUCUCUGAUGGUGUUUAUGGAGACGGAGACUACAGGUGUGCUAGCGUCUCUUCCACCAUUGGAUGGCAAAUGUUGUCGACUAAUAACGGUUUCCUACGAGAGAAAAAAAGUUGUCCUCCUCAAAGGGGAGCUUUUCGGCUCUGAAAGCCAAAUCCUCCACUGCUGCCUUCAAAUAUCAGGCUUUACUUGGUUUAAAUGGAGAUGUGUGCUCACUGGAAAGUGUCAUUAUUUAGGUUUACUCUGUUCAUUCUAUUGCUAUCAGUUUUUUAUUUAAUUAUUAUUAUUAUUAUUAUUAUUUUUUAAUUUCUCAAAUCACACCAUAUGUAUCAUACAGCAUUUGGUAAUGAUUAUUUAAUUUGUUGGAAUUCUAUAUAUAUUUUAAGCAGUAGUUAUACUUUUCAUUUAAUUAUGUUAUGGUUCCUUAAUGUUUAGUGUAAAGGGUUUUUAUGGCAAACUGUUAUUCAAAAUUUUCUUUUAGAAUAAUUCAGCUUUGUCAUAAUUGACUAAUAGAGGUUCUUCCUUCCUUCCUUAUUUAUGCUUUACAUUUAGCAAAAUUAACUGAAAUAUCAGAAAUAUUCAUAAUAUUAAAAUAUUACAUAUACAUUUAAAUUAAAUUAAUGAAUUGAUAAAUGAAUGAAUAAACAAACAAACUAACUAACUGACUAACUAACUAACUGAUUAAUUGAUUUUUACCAGUAUUUAUAAUUUUUCACUCAAUGUGUUAUGAAUCCUUAAUAUUCGGUGUAUAUAGUUAGAAUAUAUAUAGUUAUGAAUGUAUGUUAGUGUAUAUUGUUCUUUUAGAAACAUACCACUUUGUUGUAAUUAACUAAUAUUGGUUGUCAACACAAUCAGUCUUUAUUUAUUCAUAUUAUACCAUUUAUAUUUAUCAGCAUAUUAUCAUAAAUAUUCAUUAUCAAAAUAUAACCCAUAUUAUCAUACUCAGUUUAUGACAUUUUAUUACUGAGUCUACAGGGCUUUAUGGCAAAAUAUUGUUACAAAUUUCCUUUUAGAAACAUUCAGCUUUGUUGUAAUUGAUUGAUGGUUGUUGUCAAAACAACAUUUUAUAAAUAAAUAUUAUCAUAAAUAAUCAAAAUAUUCAUAACUCAUAUUACAUUCAAAUGAAAUGUAUUUAUUUAUUUUAUUAUUAAAUAAUAAAUAUUAUUAUAUUAUCAUACAUUUUAUAAUAUUAAAAUAUUCAUAACUCAUAUGGUUAAAUUGUUGUAAUCUAUUGAUUAGACAACGUCUAGACCUUUAGGUCCCACUUGUUUCCAAAGCCCCGGUUUCAUGCUAAUUGCCAUUCCAGCCAUUUUUUCCAUUUCUCUGGUGUCCCGUCACACGGCUCCUCUCUGACUUCAGAGGCAGAUGAGCAGACAGCUGUGCAAUAUCCUCUCUCAUCCUUCCUCUGACCCUAGUCUCUCUUUACACCUCCUCCAUCAUUCGCUCCCUUGAGGAUGGCAGGAAGGGAUGUAGACGUGACUAUCGAGAGGAUGGACAGUUUUAAUACCGUGCUUGUGCCCCCCCCCCCACCCCACCAGGGAUCGGUUACCCCUGAAGACAUUACAAGCUCCAAAAUGAAUCACAUCCAUUUCUCACUGUGCACAAGAUGACAGGAGUGAGACCCAGUUUGAGGGCCGAAUCGCUUCGCAACCAUUCGCAACGUGGAAGCGAAGGAUCACAGAGCGAGGUCCACUCCUGUGACCCGUAGUUAAAGCAAGAGACUCCCUAUUGAUAUCAGAGAUAUUACCAGCGUCUUAAAGGUCAGUCAUGACGUUCUCUUCUUCCUCACUUUUUAAUGUUUCAUCAGUAUAUGGUAAAGGUGAUUUUAUAAAAUACUUUCUUCUAUAUCAGUUCAUGCAGAGACGACUGUAUGUUAUUUGCUUCCACAAGUUUGAGUCUGCAUUAGUUUGCAGUCCUGACCAGAUCAACACAACAACAUCAACUCAAGCAAUGGCAGAAGUUUACAGCGGGACGGUCUGCUUGUCUCACCAAUGGAUGACUAGAUGCAUUGCGGCAGGUUUGAUUUCAUUGACAUGGUUCUGACAUGUGAAAGACGCAGUUGUGAUGUGAAAGCUACUGCAAAGGAGAAGAUCAAUACUUCAGAAGACUAGCACACGAGUCACAUGGUGAAAUUUGACCUGGUUAUGGUGAGAUUUACCCUUACUGACACUUCUUGCUGAAAUUGUAGUUUGCUCAUAAGAGGAAAGGAAGCACAUGGCGAUGAGAGAAAUCUCUCCAUGCAAUGCAUUGCCUGGAACUACAGUAUCUACACUAAAAAUGACACAGCAUCUAUUGAUUUUUAUUUAUUUAUUUAUUUUUAUUUCAAGGCCAGAGAGUUCUGACAUAUGUCCACAAUUUAGUUUUUGCAAGUAAUUUUCCAACCAGCAUUGCCCAGAGGUUCACAAGGUGACCUCGUUUUCUGAAGAGAAAAAUUCUCUGUAUCUGAGGCAGCACGCCUUGCCUUUCCUCCCCUCGAUGUAAUGUUGUGGUCUUGUUGUAAACAGUAAAUAAAAAUGCAUUCUUGUGAUAUUUUCCUCAAACCUGGUUGUUGCUGGCCUUCCUCAAGUUUAC